Molecule: ribosomal RNA, 24 nt
Filed under: Tricholoma terreum
Lineage: Eukaryota; Fungi; Basidiomycota; Agaricomycetes; Agaricales; Tricholomataceae
Source: RNAcentral
UUAUCCACGGCCAUAGGACUCUGA